Molecule: long non-coding RNA, 3429 nt
Organism: Meriones unguiculatus (Mongolian gerbil)
Lineage: Eukaryota; Metazoa; Chordata; Mammalia; Rodentia; Muridae
Exons: 3
Source: RefSeq, a predicted model, not a curated record
GGGUCUGCGGGGACCCGUGCCCGGCCCGGUCCAGCCCCCCUCGACCGCUCCUGCGCGCACUUGCGGCUCCGCGCCCGGCGGGGGAUGGGUCUUUUUGGCCGGCUUCUCCGUGAACCACGAGCCGUAGAGCUCCUGCCUUGAGCUCCAGCCCAGGCUUCCCGAAAUGACGGACUGUAAAGACUGGAAAGAAACCCUUUUCCACCCCAGAGUUGCAUUUGCAACAGGGAAGCAAGCGGAUACCUUAAUUAACAGGUCCAUCUUCAUUUACAAAACAUUUGCUGUAGCUAUCCAUGAUACCACAACAAUAUGACAACUUCAACAAGACAUCAACAGACAUGGUAACAUGGAAGGGGAAAAUCUCACAGGCCUCACGCCUAGACAAAGAACUACAAGCAACAAAUGACAGCUGAGAGGGAGAAUUGCUCUUCUCCGGGUGGAACCCUGUAACCAGUUAUCCAGUACCAAGUGGAUGGCCCUGAAAUCAUAUACAUACAAGGAACACAAUGUGUUCAGCAGAAUGUAUUUAUAUGCAAAUAUAUGUAACAAUAAUAAAGAAAAAGAGGUCAUGAACUUGAGAAGAAGAGGCUUGGGGGGUUGGAGAUGGGGAGGGGUUGGUGUGAGGAAAGGGAAAUGAUGUAAUUAUAUUCUAAUUGUUAAAAUCUCUCUCUUCUCUUCUCCCCCUCCUUCUCUUACUAUUAGCUGUCUAGCAGGGACUUCAUGCUUGUGAACUGAAUAGAUUCUGUCUGGCCCCGUAACCAAUAUGUGCUGGCGAAGAAAGUGUAAGUUUCCAGUGUUUGUUGUAGGACACGGGCAAAGUGACAUGCCAAUCACACCAUUUCAGAGAUCAGGGAUACUGAGCCUCGCAAUCGGCAUUAUUCUCUGGCACCUUUAAAUCAUUCCCACGCAGGUGAGAGGCCGGUCAAGGGGAGAAAACAGGUAUACCUGGGUGCAGUAUUCAAUCCUCUCCAAAAUGAUGGCGAAGUUGGGUCUGUCUUCAGGCUGAUGCUGCCAGCAUUGAGUCAUUAUCCGAUAUCUGGAAGAAGGAGUGAGCAGUUAAUGAAAGUCAGGAGAGGGCCCAAAAGGCUCUGUCUCUCCAGGAUGGGAAGACAGCGAGGUCCAUGUGGUUGAUCUCUGCUGCUCCCUGCUGCGGGACAGGGAAUCUCUCCCAAAUGUAAGUCCCCAUUAAAGAUACUCAGACGGUGUCCAUCAAACGCCACUUCUAUAAAGCCACGUUUAGGAUUGGGCAUUUUAUUCUCCAUCUUUGGUUUUAGGAAGGGGGUGAGAGAAUGCCAUCGGGGACAGAAGAAAAACCACAGGGGGGAUAUUUGAGAGAGAUACAUAGAGUGCAGGGCUGACCGGGACACACAUUCCUAGAGCCUGUUAAGUAGGGCUAUGAGUCCCCAGCCUCCAGCCUGGCAAUGGAUACCUUUCUGGGAUGACUUACUGUGUUUGAAGGAUUGGAAGGCCACCCACCAUACUGAAGUCUGGCAUGCUCUGGGGACAUAUUAAAAAAAGGCUACCACCUUCCUUUAAUAUUAAAGGAGCAUAUACUGAUCCAAAUACUUAAAAACAAGACCAUGCUCAAUUUCUAGUAGGAAGUUCCCAAAGGUCGUACACAGGCCCGGGGCAGUUCUUAGGUGGGUCCAUCCGUCCUCCACUGGUGACAAACUCCAGAACUUCCUGGUUGCUUUUGCUGGGGUAUGGCAUAUACCCGAGAGAAAAUAUUUCCCACAGCAACACUCCAAAAGACCUGGGCGUGGAACAGAAGACACAGAUUUGGAUGCGGACACAUGCACACACACAGACACCUGACUUUUUAGUAUGUUUUCUAUUAGGCCGUUUUCUGUAGCAAGGGCUUUUGUGUUUGUGUAUGUGUGUGUCUAUGAAUGCGUGUACAGCAUAUGUGCUCACACACAUACACAUGGAGGCCAAAGGACAUUAACUUUGUUUUCAAUUUUCAAAACAUUUCAAACAUUGUUUAAACAUCUUUUUGCACUUGGAUUUUAGUUAAUUUUAGUUCAUUUUUUUGUGACAAAGUUCCCUUCUGUGUUGCAGCCUGUCUUUGAAUUUGCUACAUAGUCCAGCUGGCUUCAAACUAAAAAUCUCCUGCCUCUGGACUACUAGAACUUUAAGAUGGACUACCACACCCCACUUUUAUCCAUGUUUAAAGAUUUCCUUAGGAUAAACCAUCUGAAACUAAUAGAAUAGUAAAAUCAAUGAUAUUUCGAGUAUAAUGACGAGAGUUAAAGAACUCAAACGUGAAACCUUCUUGAUCCAUAUUGUUGAUUUUCAGCACCCAAUUCUCUCCGCCUGCUAGUGUUACUCUUCACCCACUCUCAGUAUGCACAUUAAUAAUAACAUUUGCUCAUUUAAAAGAUCCAUCAGAGUAAACUUUUAAUUAAAAUGUUUUACCUUUAUUUUUUGUUUCAUGUGUAUGGGUGUCUUGCCUGCAUGCAUGUCUAUGCACCACAUGCCUGUAGUAACCCAAAGAGGCCAGGAGAGGGCAUCAGACCUCCCAGAACUGGAGCUACAGAUGGUUGUGAGCCACUCUGUAGUUGCUGGAAACUCUACUCAGGUCCUCUGGAAGGGCAGCCAGUGCUCUUGACCACCGGGCCAUCUCUCCAGCACCAGAUCCACCCCCUCCCAAGAAAAAAAAAAUCUCAAGGUGGAAGUGUUUCCAACUAAUUUUUACACUCACUUUAAAAUUAAUUAACUUGGUAACUAAUUGAAAUUAUUAAUUGUAGGAGGGCAUGGCGCGGCACGGUGCGCGUGUGGAAACCAAACAACUUUGAGGAGUCAGUUUUUUUCUCCCAGCAUGUGUUUUCUGGGCGUUGAACUCAGGUGUGGUGGCAAGUGCCGUAACCUGCUGAGCAGUCUCGCCAGGUCUGAUAGGAUGUGGCAAUCCCUGACUUCACAAGGUCGAGUUUGUUAAUCGACUCCUGAUUUCUCUCCUAUAUAUUGUCUGCUCACAUCUCUUAAGUGAUUUUAUCUGUCAGGGCAUAUUAUUUUAGCAUCUCAAUUUGACUUUUGAGUUGUAGACAUCCUUUUUAGGUUUUCAAGAUGUUAGCCCUUUAUCAAAAAUGACAGCGCUUACUUUUUGAGGUGGGGCUGGAGAUCACAUCAGGCUCUUGUACAUGGUAAGCAAGCAACUGAACUAUUUAGCUGGCUUUCCAACCCUACUCGCUUUUUUUAAAAUUUAAUUUUGCGUAAUGGGUCAGGUUGGCCUUGAACUCACUUUGUAGCAAGGCAGGCUUUGAUACUGCAACUUUCCUGCCUCUUAGCUGCUUUAUGAUCUAAUUUUUUAGUGUAUCAAAGGCUUAUAUUUUCCAGUACUUAAAUAUUUUAUUAAGUUUUUGUGAUUUCUUCUGUGUGUUUCACAGUUAUGCAAUUUUCUCUUCAACAAAUAUUAAAUAAAUAUUUACUAUUUUC